This 208-nucleotide ribosomal RNA is filed under the name Shigella flexneri. Its description in RNAcentral is "partial 16S ribosomal RNA". It matches the Rfam family "Bacterial small subunit ribosomal RNA", at positions 1 to 216 of the family's 1533-position model. The record is from RNAcentral. Lineage: Bacteria; Pseudomonadati; Pseudomonadota; Gammaproteobacteria; Enterobacterales; Enterobacteriaceae.
AAAUUGAAGAGUUUGAUCAUGGCUCAGAUUGAACGCUGGCGGCAGGCCUAACACAUGCAAGUCGAACGGUAACAGGAAGCGCUUGCUGCUUCGCUGACGAGUGGCGGACGGGUGAGUAAUGUCUGGGAAACUGCCUGAUGGAGGGGGAUAACUACUGGAAACGGUAGCUAAUACCGCAUAACGUCGCAAGACCAAAGAGGGGGACCUU